RNAcentral lists this ribosomal RNA (584 nucleotides) under Staphylococcus aureus. RNAcentral describes it as "partial 23S ribosomal RNA". It matches the Rfam family "Bacterial large subunit ribosomal RNA", at positions 1625 to 2208 of the family's 2925-position model. Lineage: Bacteria; Bacillati; Bacillota; Bacilli; Caryophanales; Staphylococcaceae. The record is from RNAcentral.
AGAUAGAAAAUAGGUGCCCGUACCGCAAACCGACACAGGUAGUCAAGAUGAGAAUUCUAAGGUGAGCGAGCGAACUCUCGUUAAGGAACUCGGCAAAAUGACCCCGUAACUUCGGGAGAAGGGGUGCUCUUUAGGGUUAACGCCCAGAAGAGCCGCAGUGAAUAGGCCCAAGCGACUGUUUAUCAAAAACACAGGUCUCUGCUAAACCGUAAGGUGAUGUAUAGGGGCUGACGCCUGCCCGGUGCUGGAAGGUUAAGAGGAGUGGUUAGCUUCUGCGAAGCUACGAAUCGAAGCCCCAGUAAACGGCGGCCGUAACUAUAACGGUCCUAAGGUAGCGAAAUUCCUUGUCGGGUAAGUUCCGACCCGCACGAAAGGCGUAACGAUUUGGGCACUGUCUCAACGAGAGACUCGGUGAAAUCAUAGUACCUGUGAAGAUGCAGGUUACCCGCGACAGGACGGAAAGACCCCGUGGAGCUUUACUGUAGCCUGAUAUUGAAAUUCGGCACAGCUUGUACAGGAUAGGUAGGAGCCUUUGAAACGUGAGCGCUAGCUUACGUGGAGGCGCUGGUGGGAUACUACCCUAG